RNAcentral lists this ribosomal RNA (166 nucleotides) under Pseudallescheria fusoidea. Its description in RNAcentral is "5.8S ribosomal RNA". It matches the Rfam family "5.8S ribosomal RNA". From Rfam's summary of the family: 5.8S ribosomal RNA (5.8S rRNA) is a component of the large subunit of the eukaryotic ribosome. It is transcribed by RNA polymerase I as part of the 45S precursor that also contains 18S and 28S rRNA. Functionally, it is thought that 5.8S rRNA may be involved in ribosome translocation. The record is from RNAcentral. Lineage: Eukaryota; Fungi; Ascomycota; Sordariomycetes; Microascales; Microascaceae.
AACAAGUUAAAACUUUCAACAACGGAUCUCUUGGUUCUGGCAUCGAUGAAGAACGCAGCGAAAUGCGAUAAGUAAUGUGAAUUGCAGAAUUCAGUGAAUCAUCGAAUCUUUGAACGCACAUUGCGCCCGGCAGUAAUCUGCCGGGCAUGCCUGUCCGAGCGUCAUU